Long non-coding RNA from Passer domesticus (house sparrow), 638 nucleotides. RefSeq lists it as uncharacterized. The transcript has 5 exons. NCBI's taxonomy places the organism in Eukaryota, Metazoa, Chordata, Aves, Passeriformes, Passeridae. The record is from RefSeq and is a predicted model, not a curated record.
UGGGCCCAGUCCUGUUUAACAUCUUCAUUGAUGACCUGGGUGAUGGGAUCAAGUCCACCAUUAGCCAAUUUGCAGGUGGCACGAAGUUGGGGAGGAAUGUCAAUCUACUGAAAGGGAGUACUGCCAGAAGGACUCCCACCAGAGGCUGGAGGAGCAGAAAUGAAGUAUGUCCAACAAGAGGAGUAAUGUCAGUUGCAUACAGAUUCUGCUGUUGUGCAGAGACAGGCCAUCACCAAUGCAUAUACAGAAAGCUCCAGUCUCUGGCAAACCACCAUUGAAUAGAUCCAGAAGAGGACCAGACCGACCACAGAACCUCUGUUUUCUACAGCAACUAUCACCUCAACAGGACUGCAACCACCACUUCAUAGGAUUGUCACCACCACCCUGGCCAACAGGAUGCCAGACCUGCUCCAAGAAGCCCCAGACUGCAGCUACCCACAGAAAGCCACUGACACAUCCUGGCCAAUUAAGGCUCUCCAUCAAUAUUUUGGAGCUAGCAUGACACAGACAGAAUACAAGAAUAUGAAGAGUUAUGGCUUUGAUUACUUCCAACAUCAGAAAAAACCUUCAUUGGAGGUGGAAUCAAUACAUCAGAUACUCAGGGCACCAGCAGUCCAAGAAAUCUGUUCUGAUUCUAG